CAGCAACGCCUGCUCCUUGGCCUCCUGAUCAAUGUCAUGGAGCACAUACCUUGUAUCCGGGACGUACCUCUGCUCAUUGACCACCUUCUUUUCGAUCUUGGGUGGCAGCCGGUACUCUGCCAGCUUGUUCCUCCCAUCAAGCAUGUUAAUCCCCAGACGCCUCUUUGGAGGUGGGGUUGGGAGCUUCUUAGGAUUUGCCUUGGAUGGAUCAAGCGACACCAACAACUCCUCUGCUCGGUCCUCAAGAUCAAUGUCUCCAUUCAUACGCGCCAGGUUCAAGACUGACUCCCACACCAUGGCGCUGGGCUCGAAAGGCAGCUUCUCAAUAUACUCCAUAGCCUCGUUGAGAUGCCCUGACUUCCCCAAGACCUCAAUGAUCCCAACAUAGUGCUCCACACCAGGCUCAAUACCAUGGUCCCUGGACAUGGCAUCAAAGUAAAGGAACGCCUCCUCAAUGGCCUCCGAGUUGGCACAAGCAUUGAGCACAAGCACAUAGGUAUGGCUGGUCGGUGCCAUGCAUUCCUUCAUCAGCUCAAACAGCCGCAGCGCCUCGUCCCCAAGCCCAUUCACCGAGUAGCCAUCUAUCAUGAUGUGCCACGACUCCAUGUCGCGGUCAGGCAUAUUGUCGAACGUCCUGCGGGCGUGGGGCAUGGCAGCACACUUGGCAUACAUCUCGAGCAGCUUGUUGUUGAUCCGGAGGUCGCCGCGGAAGGGCGAGCGGAGGAAGAAGUCGUGCACCUUCCUGAGCUCGUCGAGCAGCUUACGGUUAGAGCAGGCGGCUGCAAGCUCGUAGAAGGUGGGCGGGUCGGUGCGCGCCCCCUUGGUGAGAAGCUCCACGGCGUCCUUCACCCGUCCCUCCCGGCACAGUCCCAUCAGCUCCCCAGGCCCCGCCACAGGUUCAGGUGGCGGCGGAGGCGGAGUCGCAUGCUGCUGCGGGGGCGGAGGCCCGUAGCCGUGGUGCGGCGGCGGCGGCGGCGCCUGAUCCUGCGGUGGUGGAGGCCCGUAGCCCCGUGGCGGCGGAGGCGGCGCCUCCUUCUGCGGUGGUGGAGGUCCGUAGCCGCGGGGCGGUGGGGGUGGUGCCUGCUGGUGCGGCGGUGGAGGCCCGUAGCCGCGUGGCGGCGGAGGCGGCACAUGCUGGUGCGGGGAUGGAGGCCCGUGGCCGCGGGGUGGUGGAGGCCCGUGACUUCCGGGCGGCGGAGGCGGCACAUGCUGCUGCGGCGGAGGCGGCACAUGCUGCUGCGGCGGAGGAGGCCCAUAGCCGCGGGGCGGUGGAGGCCCGUGGCCGCCGGGCGGCGGUGGAGGUCCAUAGCCGCGGGGCGGCGGAGGCGGAGAGGGAUGUCCCUGCGGAGACCACUGCGGAGCCGGUCCGGGGGGAGGGGGAUUCCUUGGCGGCGCCCACUGCUGCUGAUGGGGCUGGUGAACAUGGUUGGGAGCGGCGGCGGCGGCGGGGGAAGGGGAAGGGUGGUAGGCGUAGGACGACUGGGAAGAUGAGAGGGGGCGGGCGAGGAGGUGGAGGAGGGAACGGGACCUGGCGGAGGAGAUGGCGAAGGAGCGGAGCGGGCGCAGGUGGAUGGCGGCGGUGGCGGCCAUGGUGAUUGGUGAUUGGCGAGGGCUUCACUUCUCCUCACCUCCGCUUGGGGGGUUUAGCCGUUUAGGCGAAGGCGAGAUUGGGGGAGAUGGAAGAUGUGGAGAUAUUUCCGGGCUCGCGAAUGGCGGAAUGGUGGUUCAUAUGGGCUCCGCGGGUGGUUGUACUCGGCCCAGUAAAAGAAUGAGGCCCAUGUCUGCGUCACGGUAAACUAGGCCACGAUCAAGGAAAGGC
This 1819-nucleotide long non-coding RNA is filed under the name Setaria viridis. Its description in RNAcentral is "long non-coding RNA (SVIR_LNC002638)". The record is from RNAcentral. Lineage: Eukaryota; Viridiplantae; Streptophyta; Magnoliopsida; Poales; Poaceae.